Long non-coding RNA from Topomyia yanbarensis, 512 nucleotides. RefSeq lists it as uncharacterized. The record is from RefSeq and is a predicted model, not a curated record. NCBI's taxonomy places the organism in Eukaryota, Metazoa, Arthropoda, Insecta, Diptera, Culicidae. The transcript is spliced from 3 exons.
ACAACCGUGUGACUCAUUUGGAAAAAGGACUCAUCGUCGGUUUCAUGGCAGCGAAGUGAGCAGACAAAAAAGGCAUCGUUUUUUUCCACAUGAUCGUUCUGAGCAAAAUUCAGCGAUUUGCCAGGCAUAAACCACCGAUGAGACAGUACCCGUUCGGAUUCAGGACGUUUUCCCAUACAUUGUACCCGGUCGAAGCGAUGCAGAUAACUGGGUCAAAAAGGCGGAGGUUCUGGGAAUUUCUGCACUCGUUAGCGAUCUGAGUAUGACCAAGGACAAGGAAUCAGAACCGGCGACUGACAGUCCAGAGAAAGAGAAUGCGGAAAAACCUUCUAGUCCAUAGCUCCUGAAGAAAAACGAGCUGAAGCGAAUAUGGAGAAACAGCUUCCUCCACGGAAAAUGCAGAGGCAUGCAACGCGGCGGAUGCAAGUUUGCUAAUUGAAAUUAUUCGCAAAGAUCUAGUAGAAUUAAAACUGGAGGUGCUGCGAAACGAUCCUUUUUCGACGCUAUACUCG